GCACGUCAGUCAGGGCAGGUAUCACCUGCGUCACAUCUGGAGAGACAUGUUUAAAUUUUGCUUGUGCCUUGCGACCCGUCUGAGGCUGCAGCGCAGGCAGGGGAGCAGGCAACACGGCAGGGCCCAAAGGCUGCGACAGCGCCUGCUGAAUAGUGUGAGAGAGGGACGAAGACACGGUCCCCAUGGCCGAAGCCAGGGCCUUCUGCAUGGUGGAAUCAAAAAG
Molecule: non-coding RNA, 223 nt
Organism: Pelobates cultripes (western spadefoot toad)
Lineage: Eukaryota; Metazoa; Chordata; Amphibia; Anura; Pelobatidae
Source: the annotation of a GenBank genome assembly